AUGGCGACAAGGUAUCUGAUACUGUCCCUACCUACGGGCGAGGAGGAUGCUGGUGCCUCAAAGUAUGCAGACUCUUUUUGGGAUGAAUUGCACAGAUCCCUGUCAGGCUUGCACGUACCACUCUACAGGCUCAACGUUCCAAAAUUCCGAAGAACUACACUUAAUGUUCUGGAUGGCGUCGCAGACAGCCUUACCAAUUUAAAUGCAGAAGUACAAGACCUCUGCAAUACCAUCCAUCAGUAUAUCAUGGAGAUUGGGAGUGUCUCCGCAUCAAAACAAAAGAGUACUGCAGUCACAAUCGGUGGUCUCUCCAUGGAUGAUUGUAUAUCAAUGUUUCUAUAG
This 342-nucleotide ribosomal RNA is filed under the name Triticum aestivum (bread wheat). RNAcentral's name for it is "partial small subunit ribosomal RNA". The record is from RNAcentral. Lineage: Eukaryota; Viridiplantae; Streptophyta; Magnoliopsida; Poales; Poaceae.